Long non-coding RNA from Fukomys damarensis (Damara mole-rat), 1690 nucleotides. Lineage: Eukaryota; Metazoa; Chordata; Mammalia; Rodentia; Bathyergidae. The record is from Ensembl.
UGUCUCUAUUUGUCCCCCUAGAGCUUCAUGGCUCUUGGGCCUGGCUUUGGAAGGUGACUGGACUGUGAGGGUGUUAUAGCUGACUUUCUGUUAGGAGGCAGGGCUAGUUGGAAGAGACAACUGAGAGUGUGAUCCAGAGGGUCUUUCUUCCUCCCUACCUCAUUCCUUCCCUCUCCAAUUCCUGGCUGCUACGAGGUGUCGACCAUACCUUUCUGUAUUGGAGUGGGGCAACUUGUGCCAAAAUAAACUUCUCCUUUAAAUUGUGGGUGUCAGGUAUUUUGUCCUGGUGACUGGGUGUGAGAGAAAAUUCAAGCAUGGCUGAGCCAAGUGCGCCACAUGCACAUCUCCUACCAGAAUAGGGGAUACUCAGAAGUCUGAGCAUGCUCACUCUCAUGCAUUGCGACUGGUUUAGAGCUGGCUGAAGGACAUCCUGUUCCUCCUAUCCACUGUCUCCAUUGCUAGCCCAAAAGAUCAACCAAUCUUGUUAUGCCCUGUAUGCAGUGUCCCACCCCUUGUUCCUAGACUAUAUAAGAGCUUGCUCUGCCUAUCAAAAAUGGAAGCGUUGCAGAAACCUCGCUGGAGUCGGCUUGGUGGUUCUGCGCCUCACCCUCCCUAUCUGAGCUUCAGAACCAGAGCACAAACAGACAAACAACAAGUGUUGCCCAAAUUGGGGCUCCUGUAUAUCAGGAACAUACUGAAGCGUCGGGCUCCCUCUAAUGACAAACAAAGGAAAGACUCACUUCAGGGACAAAGCAAAGACGGCGGCUCCUCCUCCCCAGGGCAAAAUGGAAGUUGUUGUUCCUCACUUUCACUUUCUCCUUUGGAUGUGGCCUCUGCCUCUGGGCGGAAGAUGAAGAUUCUGCCACCCCACCCAAACCCCCCCGCGUUUUCAGGAAGUACGUCAUCUCACGGAGGCCGUCUCUUCCGGUCCAUUAUGGCGGCCCCCACCAUGCGUGCGGCCAUAUUACCGAUCUCAUGAUUCCUCCUCCUCCUGGUCAGAUAGCGAGGAGCCACUAUCCUCCAGUGAUGAUGAUCCUUAUUUGAAUGAUGCCUGCUUCCAAAACAUGUUUAAAAAAUCUGAAAAAAGGACCCCACUUCUCCGGGCCUAUCCUGUCACUAUGGGCGGCCCUGGGGUGACACCCUGGAUCCCCCUUCUGUCAGGCAAAUAUGGGCCCUGUCCCUAACCUCCCUAUUUUUGUUACAGUGGAUUGGAAUUCUGUUCUUCCCCGUGUGUUUGGCAAUGAUUCCACCUUUCAUCCUUCCUUGAUUGAGGGUGAUUUUUCUCUUCUAGAUUCAGCGGAUGUAAGCGGCCCAUAGUCUUCAGUCUGCCUUUCCUUGCUUUAGGUGCCAAUGCUUUCUUCGAUGCUAAUAUUUCCUUCUGUCUUACUAAUACCUCUGCUUCGUUCCUCCCCAGCAGUACUGUUUUACCAUUCACAGCCCGUCUUCUGUUGCCAUUUUUCUUCAUCAUAAACAAUUCCUCUCUCAAGCUCAAUGAUACUGUCUCUGUCUCCUCAUGCGUCUAUCCAGCAAUGUUCGCUAAUAAAACCUGGUACCUCUAUUUUGGCUGCCCCCCCCGAACAAUUUGGUUGCCCGUAAAUCUUAAGGUGAAUGGUGAGAAUCUGGCCCCCUCUUCGUCCUAAUGCUUCAUCCAUGACAUCAGCAAGAUCUAGGUGUAGCUGCCAAUCGCUGC